UGAUGGCACACCAGCCGAGAGGGGGGUAAAAAGGGGGUGGCAGGGGAGCGGUCGAGUCGAACGUCUCUCGAAACUUGAAAGCCGUGCCCAUUGCCCACUCUCGUAUCUUGCUGCAGCAGCAAACGGAAGUGCACAUUCCAAACAGAAAACCCGUUUCCAAAGGCAGCACCCGGGGACCAGGGAGUGGGAGAGUGGGAUGGGAGCAGCCCGUGUUGGAGAAAGACGCUGCUACGAUGGGGCAACUAAUAAAUCCGCCAGUGGGUAAAGAGAGCAGCAAGUCUCAGUCGGUGGAUCGAGAUGUCGGUGGAGAUUCGGGGAGCUUGGGAAGAAGGCAAAGGAGUAGCAUCACCCAAAAGAAUGACACCCUGUUCACAGCAAAAGACCUGUUCUUGAUCCUACACUGACUUUUCCCUCAGUGUGAUGAUCAGGUAGAGGAGGAGCAAUGAGGAAAUGCGUCCGUCCUUCCCCUACUACCUGAUCUGCACUUUGCUUUACAUCUUGUAGGACUUCUUGGAAACCCGGCUACGGAUCUGUUCGAGACCCAUCAAAGAAUGGAAUGAAGUAACUGAAAGGAAGAAUGACGAGGCAUGUGGUGCUUAUGCCUAUAGUGGUGCUGUUGCUGUCGUUGACAUUUGAUCUCUUUUAUGAGGUCUUCCUUGAGCGAACUCAAGUGCAGCAUCGGUUUUUGUUUAUCUCAUCGUUUCUGUUGUGCUGGUGUUUUUGGUUUGGCCCUAAAUCAACCCCUAAAGCCAAGGGAUUUGACCCUAGUCCACAAAUUGUCUGUAAUUCAAUGAGUUUACUUGGGGGUCUCAGUUCGUUUCAUAUCGAUAGUGGUUGAUAGAAGAUGUUCCUUUGACGGCCAAAUGUAAAGAAACCUGAGUAUAUUCACUCAGCCAAUAAAAGGUCUUACCAUUCAGAUCAAUUUCUUUCAGAAUUUUAAUGAAUCAUAAACUAUCUAGGGUUUAUAUUUCGUAAUAUAAGAAAAGAUCAACAGUCAAGUUUCAAGGCAAGAUAGAAGCCAAUUUAUUCUUCAUUUUAGAAAUUUCAAUGAAUCCUUAAAGAUUUCAGUUUUAAAAUUGUUAAGAAGGAAUUUUUUUUUACCAAAGAGAGAAAUAUAAACAUAAACCAACUAUUACCGAUUUUUCCAGACAUUUGACAAUCGAUAACCUAUGAGUAAUAAUGGUAUAGGUUCUCUUAGGGUUCGAGUUCAAGUUGCUCCUAUGGAUGUGUUUACUUUUUGCACGUGUAUUUUAGCUUUCAGAUAUUGCCUUAUGUGUGUAUGUCUGCUCGCUCAUAUCAAAUACUCAAUUAAUAAGCAUAAAAAAAGAUAUUCAAAAUUCGAAAUAGCUAAGUCAACGACCUGCUUUGCUUUUAUAACUGCUCAGCGGGCAACACUCGUCGUCGUAUAUUUAAGAAGCAGCAACAACGCUCGUAACUCUUGAUUUACCUUAGCCCCCGAAACGCCCCGUAAUACCCCUUUUUUCCGACACUUAUAGACGCUGCUGAGCGUGCAUAACAAGCGCGUGAGCGUAUCGUGUUUGCUAUUUGUGUUUGCUUUCGCUUAGCAGUAUUGGUAUUUUGGUACCCCUCACCUAUACGAUGGAAAAAAGUAAAAAAAAAAAAAAAUAAAUAAAUAAAUAAAAAUGCCAAUUCCGGGUUCUUCUUCGCAGCAAAAAGUCGAAUCAAAUAUAUAGAAAAAGUAUGCGAAGAAGUGGGGAAAUAAAACCAAAUGUCUGCGGUUCAUUUUCUGUCUAGAUCGUCAGUUUAUGUGCUCAGCUCAAACGCCGUAGGCAGUUUCCUUUUGUUUUAUUAUUAUUUAUUUGGGAUUUUUUGGGAGCAGACUCUCAAAAAACAAGGGAAGCUCAAAGCUCAAGCUCAGGCAAAUCAAUCAUCGUUACGCACUUUUGAAGAAGCUUAAG
Molecule: non-coding RNA, 1919 nt
Organism: Drosophila suzukii
Lineage: Eukaryota; Metazoa; Arthropoda; Insecta; Diptera; Drosophilidae
Source: RefSeq, a predicted model, not a curated record